This 257-nucleotide ribosomal RNA is filed under the name uncultured bacterium. Its description in RNAcentral is "partial 16S ribosomal RNA". It matches the Rfam family "Bacterial small subunit ribosomal RNA", at positions 524 to 776 of the family's 1533-position model. The record is from RNAcentral.
UACGAAGGGGGCUAGCGUUGUUCGGAAUUACUGGGCGUAAAGCGCGCGCAGGCGGUCUUCCAAGUCAGUGGUGAAAGCCCGGAGCUCAACUCCGGAACUGCCAUUGAAACUGUAAGACUUGAGGACGAGAGAGGUGAGUGGAAUUCCCAGUGUAGAGGUGAAAAUUCGUAGAUAUUUGGGAAAGAACACCAGUGGCGAAGGCGGCUCACUGGCUCGUAACUGACGCUCAUGCACGACAGCGUGGGGGAUCAAACAGG